UAGAUGUAGCUAUAAAAGUAGAUGUUUUGAAAACAUUUGAUAAGGUAUUGAGGUUUUAACAGGGC
This 65-nucleotide transfer RNA is filed under the name Porcellionides pruinosus. RNAcentral describes it as "tRNA-Ser". The record is from RNAcentral. Lineage: Eukaryota; Metazoa; Arthropoda; Malacostraca; Isopoda; Porcellionidae.